AGUGAACGCUGGCGGCGUGGCUCAGACAUGCAAGUCGAGCGAGAAGCUCCUUCGGGAGUAGAAAGUGGCAAACGGGUGCGUAACACGUGAGCAACCUGCCCUUAAGUAGGGGAUAGCCCAUCGAAAGAUGGAUUAAUACCGUAUGUGGUACUCCUUCGCAUGAAGGAAAUACUAAAGCUUGUAAUGGCGCUUAAGGAGGGGCUCGCGGCCUAUCAGCUUGUUGGUGAGGUAAUGGCUCACCAAGGCUAAGACGGGUAGCUGGUCUGAGAGGAUGAUCAGCCACACUGGAACUGAGAUACGGUCCAG
Molecule: ribosomal RNA, 306 nt
Filed under: uncultured bacterium
Lineage: Bacteria
Description: bacterial SSU rRNA
Rfam family: Bacterial small subunit ribosomal RNA
Source: RNAcentral